GUUGAGGGGAAUGUCGUCUGGCGCGAGACCGGCCGGACAGCAGGCGGCGUGGGCCGGCGCCUCGGACGGUCUCGGACCAGGCUUCAUUCCCCCCAAC
This 97-nucleotide microRNA precursor is filed under the name Dichanthelium oligosanthes. RNAcentral describes it as "mir-166 microRNA precursor family". It matches the Rfam family "mir-166 microRNA precursor family". From Rfam's summary of the family: This family represents the plant microRNA (miRNA) precursor mir-166. Animal miRNAs are transcribed as ~70nt precursors and subsequently processed by the Dicer enzyme to give a ~22nt product. In plants the precursor sequences may be longer, and the carpel factory (caf) enzyme appears to be involved in processing. Lineage: Eukaryota; Viridiplantae; Streptophyta; Magnoliopsida; Poales; Poaceae. The record is from Rfam by way of RNAcentral.